This 253-nucleotide ribosomal RNA is filed under the name uncultured bacterium. Its description in RNAcentral is "partial 16S ribosomal RNA". It matches the Rfam family "Bacterial small subunit ribosomal RNA", at positions 524 to 776 of the family's 1533-position model. The record is from RNAcentral.
UACGAAGGGGGCUAGCGUUGUUCGGAAUUACUGGGCGUAAAGCGUGCGCAGGCGGCUUUGCAAGACAGCUGUGAAAUCCCCGGGCUUAACCUGGGAACUGCAUUUGUGACUGCAUGGCUGGAGUGCGGAAGAGGGGGAUGGAAUUCCGCGUGUAGCAGUGAAAUGCGUAGAUAUGCGGAGGAACACCGAUGGCGAAGGCAAUCCCCUGGGCCUGCACUGACGCUCAUGCACGAAAGCGUGGGGAGCAAACAGG